UUUCCGUAGAUGAACCUGCGGAGGGAUCAUUACAGAGUUCAUGCCCUACCGGGUAGAUCUCCCACCCUAUGUUAUUAUUACUUUGUUGCUUUGGCGGGCCGUUAGGCUCCGGCCCGACUACCGGCCCCGGCUGGUAAGCGCCCGCCAGAGGACCCAAAACCCUGAAUAUUAGUGUCGUCUGAGUACUAUAUAAUAGUUAAAACUUUCAACAACGGAUCUCUUGGUUCUG
Molecule: unclassified non-coding RNA, 229 nt
Filed under: plant metagenome
Description: partial contains small subunit ribosomal RNA, internal transcribed spacer 1, and 5.8S ribosomal RNA
Source: RNAcentral